UACAGAGGGGGCAAGCGUUGUUCGGAAUUACUGGGCGUAAAGGGCGCGUAGGCGGCCUGUUAAGUCGAACGUGAAAUCCCCGGGCUCAACCCGGGAACUGCGUCCGAUACUGGCAGGCUUGAAUCCGGGAGAGGGAUGCGGAAUUCCAGGUGUAGCGGUGAAAUGCGUAGAUAUCUGGAGGAACACCGGUGGCGAAGGCGGUUCUCUGGGCAUGUCCUGACGCUGAGGAGCGAAAGUGUGGGGAGCGAACAGG
Molecule: ribosomal RNA, 253 nt
Filed under: uncultured bacterium
Lineage: Bacteria
Description: partial 16S ribosomal RNA
Rfam family: Bacterial small subunit ribosomal RNA
Source: RNAcentral